AUGAAUCUUCAUUCACUUAUUCUGCUCUUUGCUUCAGCAGCUGCUGUAUUUGGAAAUGUCAUCAAACCAAACAAAACAGAUGUUUUUGCUGAGGAGGGUUCAAGUGUUACAUUAUCCUGUAGUUUUUCUGCCUCUGGAGCUCAAGAUUAUCUCCACUGGUACCGUCAGUAUGGAAGAUCAAAACCUGAAUUUCUUGUACUUAUCUUUGGAAGUGCAACAGAUCCCGAAGUAUCUGAAGUAGAUCCAAGAUUCUCUGUUAAAGUUGAAAAAAAGGAGCAAAGUCAUGUGUAUCUGGAGAUCUCCUCUGCUGCAGUAUCAGACUCUGCUCUGUAUUACUGUGCUCUGAAGCCCACAGUCACA
Molecule: non-coding RNA, 360 nt
Organism: Ctenopharyngodon idella (grass carp)
Lineage: Eukaryota; Metazoa; Chordata; Actinopteri; Cypriniformes; Xenocyprididae
Source: the annotation of a RefSeq genome assembly